CCUGAUCCAGCCAUGCCGCGUGAGUGAUGAAGGCCCUAGGGUCGUAAAGCUCUUUCGCCUGUGAAGAUAAUGACGGUAGCAGGUAAAGAAACCCCGGCUAACUCCGUGCCAGCAGCCGCGGUAAUACGGAGGGGGUUAGCGUUGUUCGGAAUUACUGGGCGUAAAGCGCACGUAGGCGGAUCGGAAAGUUGGGGGUGAAAUCCCGGGGCUCAACCCCGGAACUGCCUCCAAAACUAUCGGUCUAGAGUUCGAGAGAGGUGAGUGGAAUUCCGAGUGUAGAGGUGAAAUUCGUAGAUAUUCGGAGGAACACCAGUGGCGAAGGCGGCUCACUGGCUCGAUACUGACGCUGAGGUGCGAAAGUGUGGGGAGCAAACAGGAUUAGAUACCCUGGUAGUCCACACCGUAAACGAUGAAUGCCAGUCGUCGGGUAGCAUGCUAUUCGGUGACACACCUAACGGAUUAAGCAUUCCGCCUGGGGAGUACGGUCG
RNAcentral lists this ribosomal RNA (488 nucleotides) under Ruegeria sp. HDEN7. Its description in RNAcentral is "bacterial SSU rRNA". It matches the Rfam family "Bacterial small subunit ribosomal RNA", at positions 382 to 888 of the family's 1533-position model. The record is from RNAcentral. Lineage: Bacteria; Pseudomonadati; Pseudomonadota; Alphaproteobacteria; Rhodobacterales; Roseobacteraceae.